This is a long non-coding RNA of Coturnix japonica (Japanese quail), 1049 nucleotides long. Lineage: Eukaryota; Metazoa; Chordata; Aves; Galliformes; Phasianidae. The record is from Ensembl.
AGGGGUGUGAUAUUUGAUCUUCCAGUUAAAUCACUGAGAAUGGCUCAGGACUAUCAAUUUAUGUUAAGAGAAUAAACUAGCCAUGAAAUUUAUGAAGCAGAGGACAGAAAAUUAAAAAGCUGUUCUGCAGCUGUUUGUUGUAGGAUUUCUUGUGACUUCCUGAUAAGCAUCUAACCCUUGCCAUGCUUAGGAUGUAGGUGAUGAAUUACUUAGGUGAGAAAUGCUAAUGUCCAAUAAUUAUUCUGGAGUUUCAAUGAAGCACUCUUUGUUCAGACAUUUUUGCAAAAGUUGGUGUUCUAAUGGGUAGGAAUGCCAUAACAAACAAACAGCAAAUAUUUAUAUCCAUAUCACUGACAACACUUCCCUCUCCCAAACUGGGUUAUAGCCUAUCUGGGGUUGAGUUUUCAAUUUAUUUCCUUUUAAGGCAUCCCCUUGAGAAGGUUCUGGUUUAAGACUCCCUGGCCUUAAUCUCCAGGGUUACAGAGUGUCAACAUUACAAAGACUGUGACCCACAACUCUCCCAAAGUUACUGGUUUCCCAAUUGUAGCUCAAGCCUCCUCCUCCUAGUUACAUUCAGUUACCCAGUCCCUCAUAGCAACAGGCUGCCUAGCACUUCCUGGAAGGACAACAUAACAUUCCAUAUAUCACACUUGCAUGCUUUUUCCGUAAGCAUAAUGCUUUUCUACAGUUCUGUGUUGCAUCUGGCUGUUCAAGAAGCUCCUGAGUCUGCUAGAGAAAAAAUUGUAUCCAGCAGGAAUGAAUGUAUUCUGUCUUUCACAAAAGCUCUGCUGCUUCCACUCUUAGGUGCUUAUAGUAUUACUACUGAUGACCUUCCAGAUUUAUUUUUAGAUCCUGAGAUUGGGGUAUACACUGGAGGAUGUCUAGACAAAACCAUGCUUGCGGAAUCCUGCAGUAAGUGGCUUAAAGCGAGUCAUUGCUGCAACUGCUGCAGAAGAUGCAGAUUUAAAAGUCUUGAGUAUACACUUGUGCUCUGUGUUAAAGAAAGAUCUCCUGGCGUAAAAGCAUGGCUUUGGAACAUAUUCAAUUGA